GCUUGCUGCUUUGCUGACGAGUGGCGGACGGGUGAGUAAUGUCUGGGAAACUGCCCGAUGGAGGGGGAUAACUACUGGAAACGGUAGCUAAUACCGCAUAACGUCGCAAGACCAAAGAGGGGGACCUUCGGGCCUCUUGCCAUCGGAUGUGCCCAGAUGGGAUUAGCUAGUAGGUGGGGUAACGGCUCACCUAGGCGACGAUCCCUAGCUGGUCUGAGAGGAUGACCAGCCACACUGGAACUGAGACACGGUCCAGACUCCUACGGGAGGCAGCAGUGGGGAAUAUUGCACAAUGGGCGCAAGCCUGAUGCAGCCAUGCCGCGUGUAUGAAGAAGGCCUUCGGGUUGUAAAGUACUUUCAGCGGGGAGGAAGGGAGUAAAGUUAAUACCUUUGCUCAUUGACGUUACCCGCAGAAGAAGCACCGGCUAACUCCGUGCCAGCAGCCGCGGUAAUACGGAGGGUGCAAGCGUUAAUCGGAAUUACUGGGCGUAAAGCGCACGCAGGCGGUUUGUUAAGUCAGAUGUGAAAUCCCCGGGCUCAACCUGGGAACUGCAUCUGAUACUGGCAAGCUUGAGUCUCGUAGAGGGGGGUAGAAUUCCAGGUGUAGCGGUGAAAUGCGUAGAGAUCUGGAGGAAUACCGGUGGCGAAGGCGGCCCCCUGGACGAAGACUGACGCUCAGGUGCGAAAGCGUGGAGAGCAAACAGGAUUAGAUACCCUGGUAGUCCACGCCGUAAACGAUGUCGACUUGGAGGUUGUGCCCUUGAGGCGUGGCUUCCGGAGCUAACGCGUUAAGUCGACCGCCUGGGGAG
RNAcentral lists this ribosomal RNA (809 nucleotides) under Escherichia coli. RNAcentral's name for it is "bacterial SSU rRNA". It matches the Rfam family "Bacterial small subunit ribosomal RNA", at positions 78 to 880 of the family's 1533-position model. Lineage: Bacteria; Pseudomonadati; Pseudomonadota; Gammaproteobacteria; Enterobacterales; Enterobacteriaceae. The record is from RNAcentral.